Molecule: ribosomal RNA, 485 nt
Filed under: uncultured bacterium
Lineage: Bacteria
Description: bacterial SSU rRNA
Rfam family: Bacterial small subunit ribosomal RNA
Source: RNAcentral
GAUGAACGCUAGCUACAGGCUUAACACAUGCAAGUCGAGGGGUCUCGAGGGAGCUUGCUCUUGAGAGACGACCGGCGCACGGGUGCGUAACGCGUAUCCAACCUUCCCGUUACUCCGGGAUAGCCUUCCGAAAGGGAGAUUAAUACCGGAUGGUGUUUGAAGUCCGCAUGAAAUUCAAACUAAAGAUUUAUCGGUAACGGAUGGGGAUGCGUACCAUUAGAUAGUAGGCGGGGUAACGGCCCACCUAGUCUACGAUGGUUAGGGGUUCUGAGAGGAAGGUCCCCCACACUGGAACUGAGACACGGUCCAGACUCCUACGGGAGGCAGCAGUGAGGAAUAUUGGUCAAUGGCCGUAAGGCUGAACCAGCCAAGUAGCGUGAAGGAUGAAGGUUCUAUGGAUUGUAAACUUCUUUUAUACGGGAAUAACACCAUCUACGUGUAGAUGUCUGCAUGUACCGUAUGAAUAAGCAUCGGCUAACUCCGUG